UAGGGAAUCUUCCGCAAUGGGCGAAAGCUUGACGGAGCAACGCCGCGUGAGUGAUAAAGGUCUUCGGAUCGUAAAACUCUGUUAUUAGGGAAGAACAAAUGUGUAAGUAACUAUGCACGUCUUGACGGUACCUAAUCAGAAAGCCACGGCUAACUACGUGCCAGCAGCCGCGGUAAUACGUAGGUGGCAAGCGUUAUCCGGAAUUAUUGGGCGUAAAGCGCGCGUAGGCGGUUUUUUAAGUCUGAUGUGAAAGCCCACGGCUCAACCGUGGAGGGUCAUUGGAAACUGGAAAACUUGAGUGCAGAAGAGGAAAGUGGAAUUCCAUGUGUAGCAGUGAAAUGCGCAGAGAUAUGGAGGAACACCAGUGGCGAAGGCGACUUUCUGGUCUGUAACUGACGCUGAUGUGCGAAAGCGUGGGGAUCAAACAGG
This 429-nucleotide ribosomal RNA is filed under the name Actinomycetes bacterium. RNAcentral describes it as "Actinobacteria bacterium partial 16S ribosomal RNA". It matches the Rfam family "Bacterial small subunit ribosomal RNA", at positions 355 to 776 of the family's 1533-position model. The record is from RNAcentral. Lineage: Bacteria; Bacillati; Actinomycetota; Actinomycetes.